GGGAGUAUAGUGUAAUGGUUGUAGUACUGCUCACUACUAGCCACUGCAAUGGUAUAGGUUCAAAUCCUACCACUCCCG
Non-coding RNA from Mycena haematopus, 78 nucleotides. NCBI's taxonomy places the organism in Eukaryota, Fungi, Basidiomycota, Agaricomycetes, Agaricales, Mycenaceae. The record is from the annotation of a GenBank genome assembly.